This 336-nucleotide ribosomal RNA is filed under the name Triticum aestivum (bread wheat). RNAcentral's name for it is "partial small subunit ribosomal RNA". Lineage: Eukaryota; Viridiplantae; Streptophyta; Magnoliopsida; Poales; Poaceae. The record is from RNAcentral.
AUGGACCAUGCGGCGCCGCGGGCCAGGGAUUGGUCGCUGCUGCCCCUCGACGUUCUCUCCUCGAUCUUCGUCCGGAUCGGCGCCGUCGACGUCCUCAUGGGCGCCGGCCUGGUGUGCCGCUCGUGGCUCGAGGCGGCGAAGCUGCCAGAAGUGUGGCGGGCCGUGGACAUGGACAAACACGAGGUCGUGUUCGCGAAGUGUAACGUGGUCCUGCGCGCAAUGGCGAAGGCGGCCGUCGACCGUUCCGACGGGCAGCUUCGGUCGUUCGCCGGCAAGCUGUUCGUCACCAACGAGCUCAUCAAAUAUAUCGUGGAAAGGUGUUUUUUCUUGCCUUAG